Molecule: non-coding RNA, 369 nt
Organism: Pelobates cultripes (western spadefoot toad)
Lineage: Eukaryota; Metazoa; Chordata; Amphibia; Anura; Pelobatidae
Source: the annotation of a GenBank genome assembly
CUUCCUUGUACUUCCCUUUCCUUCUCUGUUUGGUUUAAUUGCUAACUUGGGAUAUUCCGUGAAAAAGGAGGUCUCUCAGAGGUUUCUUGGAUAGGUUCUCAUUCUAGUUGCAGGAUGCAAUAUACCACAAGUAAUGAGUUCUUGUUCACUGUCAACAGACAGUUGAAAAUUGAUUCACUGGUAAGUGUAAAUUGUUUUUAUGACAAGUCCACUUUAAAGAAACAAAAGUGCAUCAAUUAAAAUUAGUUUUCUGUAAAGAAAAUGUCAAUAAUAAGGAAAAGUAAUAGAACAUGCAUAUUUGCAUAUAUGUGUCCCAGAAAUUGUGCAGCAGGAAAUGCUAUGGAAUCUAUGCUCAUCUGUGGAUUAUCU